UAACAAGGAUUCCCCUAGUAACUGCGAGUGAAGCGGGAAAAGCUCAAAUUUAAAAUCUGGCAGCUUUGGCUGUCCGAGUUGUAGUCUGGAGAAGCGUUUUCUGUGCUGGACCGUGUACAAGUCUCUUGGAACAGAGCGUCGUAGAGGGUGAGAAUCCCGUCUUUGACACGGACUCCCAGUGCUUUGUGAUGCGCUCUCAAAGAGUCGAGUUGUUUGGGAAUGCAGCUCAAAAUGGGUGGUAAAUUCCAUCUAAAGCUAAAUAUUGGCGAGAGACCGAUAGCGAACAAGUACCGUGAGGGAAAGAUGAAAAGCACUUUGGAAAGAGAGUUAAACAGUACGUGAAAUUGCUGAAAGGGAAACGAUUGAAGUCAGUCGCGUCGGCCAGAACUCAGCCUGGCUUUUGCCUGGUGCAUUUUCUGGUUGACGGGCCAGCAUCAAUUUUGAUCGCUGGAUAAAGGCCUUGGGAAUGUGGCACCUUCGGGUGUGUUAUAGCCCUUGGUUGUAUACAGUGGUUGGGAUUGAGGAUCACAGCAUGCCUUUACGGCCGGGGUUCGCCCACGUUCAUGCUUAGGAUGCUGGCGUAAUGGCUUUAAACGAC
RNAcentral lists this ribosomal RNA (598 nucleotides) under Antrodiella semisupina. Its description in RNAcentral is "eukaryotic LSU rRNA". It matches the Rfam family "Eukaryotic large subunit ribosomal RNA", at positions 66 to 648 of the family's 3401-position model. Lineage: Eukaryota; Fungi; Basidiomycota; Agaricomycetes; Polyporales; Steccherinaceae. The record is from RNAcentral.